This 219-nucleotide ribosomal RNA is filed under the name uncultured bacterium. RNAcentral's name for it is "partial 16S ribosomal RNA". It matches the Rfam family "Bacterial small subunit ribosomal RNA", at positions 15 to 217 of the family's 1533-position model. The record is from RNAcentral.
GAUCAUGGCUCAGGACGAACGCUGGCGGCGUGCUUAACACAUGCAAGUCGAACGAGAAUCUAUUGAAGGAGUUUUCGGACAACGGAUAUAGAGGACAGUGGCGGACGGGUGAGUAACGCGUGAGGAACCUGCCUUUCAGAGGGGGACAACAGUUGGAAACGACUGCUAAUACCGCAUAACAUAUAGAUGUCGCAUGGCAUUUAUAUCAAAGAUUUAUCG